RNAcentral lists this long non-coding RNA (307 nucleotides) under Gossypium barbadense (sea-island cotton). RNAcentral's name for it is "long non-coding RNA (GBAR_LNC020433)". The record is from RNAcentral. Lineage: Eukaryota; Viridiplantae; Streptophyta; Magnoliopsida; Malvales; Malvaceae.
UUCAUUCAUUUUCAUAAAUUCAUGACAUAAGUGAUUUGAAUACUUACCAUUCCUUCCCUUUUUAUACCCGUUGAACCACUUAGAAUAAUAUUGAAUAUACGGGAAAGCUCACACAAAGUGUGCUAAACAUAUAGUCGUAGUUGACAUGAACUGUAAAAUGAGUCUACUCACACAAGCUGUCUAUCGGAAUGUAAGCUACACGAUGCUGCUUACACAAGCUAUUGAGUAUCCGCAACUAAUGCCGAGCCUCAGCCAUAGGUAGGAAAUUUAAGACCAACAUCUGAAACAUGGUAACCUAGGUUUGCUC